Molecule: ribosomal RNA, 584 nt
Filed under: Escherichia coli
Lineage: Bacteria; Pseudomonadati; Pseudomonadota; Gammaproteobacteria; Enterobacterales; Enterobacteriaceae
Description: partial 23S ribosomal RNA
Rfam family: Bacterial large subunit ribosomal RNA
Source: RNAcentral
GAAAUACCACCCUUUAAUGUUUGAUGUUCUAACGUUGGCCCGUAAUCCGGGUUGCGGACAGUGUCUGGUGGGUAGUUUGACUGGGGCGGUCUCCUCCUAAAGAGUAACGGAGGAGCACGAAGGUUGGCUAAUCCUGGUCGGACAUCAGGAGGUUAGUGCAAUGGCAUAAGCCAGCUUGACUGCGAGCGUGACGGCGCGAGCAGGUGCGAAAGCAGGUCAUAGUGAUCCGGUGGUUCUGAAUGGAAGGGCCAUCGCUCAACGGAUAAAAGGUACUCCGGGGAUAACAGGCUGAUACCGCCCAAGAGUUCAUAUCGACGGCGGUGUUUGGCACCUCGAUGUCGGCUCAUCACAUCCUGGGGCUGAAGUAGGUCCCAAGGGUAUGGCUGUUCGCCAUUUAAAGUGGUACGCGAGCUGGGUUUAGAACGUCGUGAGACAGUUCGGUCCCUAUCUGCCGUGGGCGCUGGAGAACUGAGGGGGGCUGCUCCUAGUACGAGAGGACCGGAGUGGACGCAUCACUGGUGUUCGGGUUGUCAUGCCAAUGGCACUGCCCGGUAGCUAAAUGCGGAAGAGAUAAGUGCUGAAAG